Labeo rohita (rohu) is the source of this 1081-nucleotide long non-coding RNA. RefSeq lists it as uncharacterized. NCBI's taxonomy places the organism in Eukaryota, Metazoa, Chordata, Actinopteri, Cypriniformes, Cyprinidae. The record is from RefSeq and is a predicted model, not a curated record. The transcript is spliced from 3 exons.
CGUGCUGCUCAGAUAAGCUAUUUAAAGCUAAACGUUCCGUGUGCUCAGACCUGAAGCUUUCCAUGUUGUCAUUGCUGAACGGAUUCUGUCAUCGCCAGUGAACUGUCAGUGAGUUGAAGAGCAUUUAAACUAUCGCAAGUCACUUGGAGUUUGAAGUAGAAUUCUUUGCGCGACAGCGCAAGUUACUACGUGCGCUUCAAGAAAACAACCGCCCCCCCUGCUGAUAUGGGUGUAAAAAUGCUGCAGUGCUUUCCCUUCUAUAGACGCUGCAAGGAGAGGUGCAAAAGACAGUGCCCUCCGGAAACGGCAAUAGCUAGUGAAGAGGUGAAACCUCGGCUGUGUUCUACUACUUCCUGGGGCAGUGAAGGAGACAGCGGCAGCAAUACGAGUUGCCCACAGGCCUAUUUUUCCCACAAAGCUCGGCUCUCACUUCGACACCAGAUGGAUAGCAACAUCAAUGCAGUGGAUGCCACAUACUAACUUUGUUCUGCAAGCGAUCUCUAGAGAAUCCUUGAAAGGAAACUUCAGAUUACAGCCCCAGUCCAGUUUAAGUCCCGUAUUGGAGAGUUUUGGUUGGGAACUGGAGGAUGAGCCAUUAGGAGGAACAAGCAGGAUGAAAGUUUGCCUCUCUUUGCACGCUCAUGGACACUCAUGAGCGUCAACUGUAUGCAUUGUCAAGACAAAUGUCUGAAUCUUUUUAACGGUACAGCAAUGAGUGUAAAAUGGUACAUCUGAGUGUAUUUUGGUGAAAGGGGAUUUUAUCAAACACUCUUAAGAGUGAUGUUUACAUAAUAACCAGUAAGUGCUUUUUUGUAGCUUGUAGCAUUUGCCCUCCACAGACAGCCUCUGCUAUACAUGCAUCUUUUUAAUUGAGGAGACACUGACAUGAGCUUUUUGAGCCAGAUAUAAAUUUGUUCAGUAGGAUUCUUUGAUGAGUAAGAGUCCUAAUAUAAUUAACCAUGCUUUGCCUUGCUGGUUGUACAUUCAGUGUAUACUGUGAAGCAACUGAAUGUUUUGUUUUCUUCCACAUAAGCUUAUUUUGCCAUGUAAGUGCCAUUUCUCUGCUCUACAGCUGCAUCAA